This 253-nucleotide ribosomal RNA is filed under the name uncultured bacterium. Its description in RNAcentral is "partial 16S ribosomal RNA". It matches the Rfam family "Bacterial small subunit ribosomal RNA", at positions 524 to 776 of the family's 1533-position model. The record is from RNAcentral.
UACGUAGGGGGCGAGCGUUGUUCGGAAUUACUGGGCGUAAAGGGCGCGUAGGCGGCCUGCUAAGUCGAACGUGAAAUCCCUGGGCUCAACCCAGGUACUGCGUCCGAUACUGGUUGGCUUGAAUUCGGGAGAGGGAUGCGGAAUUCCAGGUGUAGCGGUGAAAUGCGUAGAUAUCUGGAGGAACACCGGUGGCGAAGGCGGCAUCCUGGACCGGGAUUGACGCUGAUGCGCGAAAGCCAGGGGAGCAAACGGG